GGUGAACGCUAGCGGCAGGCCUAACACAUGCCAGUCGAGGGAGGACCCUUCGGGCUUCUACCGGCGUACGGGUGCGUAACGCGUCUACAAUCUGCCUUUCCCAUAGGGAUAGCCCGAUGAAAUUUGGAUUAAUACCUAAUGCUAUAUAGAUGUGUCCUCCCCUUUAUAUUAAACCUGAGGCGGUGAAAGCUGAGUAUGCGUUCUAUUAGCUAGUUGGAGAGGUAACGGCUCCCCAAGGCGACGCUAGAAUGGGGUUCUGCGAGGGAUAUCCACCACACUGGUAAUGAGAUACGGACUAGAACCGUACGGGAGGGAGCAGUGAGGAAGAUAGGACGAGGGUCGGAAGACUGAUCCAGCCAUGCCGCGUGCAGGAAGACGGGCUUAGGGGUUGUAAACUGCUGUUGCAGAAGAAGAAUAAGGAAUACGCGUAGUUUGAUGACGGUACUCAGCGAAUAAGCAUCGGCUAACUCCGUG
This 474-nucleotide ribosomal RNA is filed under the name uncultured bacterium. RNAcentral describes it as "partial 16S ribosomal RNA". It matches the Rfam family "Bacterial small subunit ribosomal RNA", at positions 28 to 507 of the family's 1533-position model. The record is from RNAcentral.